Long non-coding RNA from Sarcophilus harrisii (Tasmanian devil), 1339 nucleotides. RefSeq lists it as uncharacterized. The transcript is spliced from 3 exons. The record is from RefSeq and is a predicted model, not a curated record. Lineage: Eukaryota; Metazoa; Chordata; Mammalia; Dasyuromorphia; Dasyuridae.
CUUCCAAAGGUCACUCAACAUUUGUUCAUCUUGUAGAGGGAGAGCUAAUGACAAUGAGUAGCUUGGGAGAGGUACACAUCUAGAUGUCAUAGAACAAUGGGCCACACAGAUACACUUCAAUGCAAGUGUUGGGUUUCCUAUUCAGAAGAGAACUUGCUGAUUCUAGAAAAUGAUCCUUUGCUCCUUUGAAUGUGGAUAAUGAAGGGAUAUAGAUGACUAGACCAAAAUGUCAAAGCUCCCUGCUGAUGGAAGAGGCCAUUUAACCAGAACCAUCCAUGAAACACUCUGGACAAAGUGCUGGCUAAGGAGACUGGAUCCCUGACUUCUGCCUGUGGCUCACUCAUUCAACUAAUAUUUAAGUACCUGCUAUGUGUAAGCUUUUCAAACUAUAAUAAAAGCUCACCAGACAUGUGAGGCGUAUUCCUUCUGCAUAGCCACAGAUGGAAGUUCCUGAAUGGAGAAUCAUGGAGGUCCAGUGGCAGAACAAAAGUCAAGAGAUAGUGAAUGCUUUGUCAAGCACUGAAGAUCAAGCUCUAAGCACUCCCCAGGACCUACUUCAGUUGGAUUCAUGGCCAUUGGAAUAAAUUGUUCUCAACUAACCAUCCCACUGGAGGAAGUCUUCACAUGGUAGACAUCCCCCUUACUCACCAACAGGCUUGAGACAUGUUGGUUACCCUCAACCUGGUUUAGCCUGUCUAUCGAGAUAGUUUGCAGGGUAUAAUCACUGUGUGUGCAACAACUUCAUUAAGACACAAGUUGAGUGUUGAGUGAAUCAGGUGGACACCAAAGGUGGAUGGAUAGCCCUGAAAAGGCUUGGUAAGCUCUCACUGAACAUCCCAUACACCCCAGAAUUCAGACACACCAAAUGCAAACAUACUUAAGUAGCACCUUCUACAUGAUCAAAUCCCUGCUGAUUGGCUGGCCACUUCAGUGACAAAGCUCAGACUAUGAAGCAACAGCUGGCACAGGUGGGGACUGCAGGAGUAAAUACUCAAGCAAGUUGAAAGGGUCAUAUAGAUACUCAUAUCUCUUUGUAGACCUACUUAGCAAGGAGUGAGAAAUAUCCCCCAAAACAGGAAGGCAAAUGUCCCCUUGCUGGUUUUACUCUUAGCAAUUGUGACCUUAGAGUUCACCAGGUUAUGGCCAGUGAAUGGUAAAAAGCCUUAUCCUGACUCAUGCAGAAUGAUACCUCAGAGGAGGGGCAUGGACAGCCCCAUCCUGCAAUUAUACUAGUAUGUCAGCCCAGGGUGGGGAUCAGGAAUGCAAGUACAAUAAAGCUUUGGGGAGAAAGAUUACUAUGUACUUUAAAAACCUGUGUGUCCAAUGACAAGUUAUGUAA